Caerostris darwini is the source of this 114-nucleotide non-coding RNA. The record is from the annotation of a GenBank genome assembly. NCBI's taxonomy places the organism in Eukaryota, Metazoa, Arthropoda, Arachnida, Araneae, Araneidae.
AACGGCCAUAUCAUGCUGAAUAUACCGGUUCUCGUUAGAUCACCGAAGUCAAGCAUCACUGGGCGCGGUCAGUACACUUGGGUGGGUGACCACCUGGGAACACCGCGUGCCGUU